Molecule: ribosomal RNA, 497 nt
Filed under: uncultured bacterium
Lineage: Bacteria
Description: partial 16S ribosomal RNA
Rfam family: Bacterial small subunit ribosomal RNA
Source: RNAcentral
GAUGAACGCUGGCGGCGUGCCUAAUACAUGCAAGUCGAGCGAACAGACGAGGAGCUUGCUCCUCUGACGUUAGCGGCGGACGGGUGAGUAACACGUGGAUAACCUACCUAUAAGACUGGGAUAACUUCGGGAAACCGGAGCUAAUACCGGAUAAUAUAUUGAACCGCAUGGUUCAAUAGUGAAAGACGGUUUUGCUGUCACUUAUAGAUGGAUCCGCGCCGCAUUAGCUAGUUGGUAAGGUAACGGCUUACCAAGGCAACGAUGCGUAGCCGACCUGAGAGGGUGAUAGGCCACACUGGAACUGAGAAACGGUCCAGACUCCUACGGGAGGCAGCAGUAGGGAAUCUUCCGCAAUGGGCGAAAGCCUGACGGAGCAACGCCGCGUGAGUGAUGAAGGUCUUCGGAUCGUAAAACUCUGUUAUUAGGGAAGAACAAAUGUGUAAGUAACUAUGCACGUCUUGACGGUACCUAAUCAGAAAGCCACGGCUAACUACGUG